GACGAACGCUGGCGGCGCGCUUAACACAUGCAAGUCGAACGGAAAGGCCUGCUUUCCCUUGUGGAUUGCGGGUACUCGAGUGGCGAACGGGUGAGUAACACGUGAGUGAUCUGCCCCCAACUUGGGUAUAAGCCUGGGAAACUGGGUCUAAUUCCCGAUAGGACUGCAGGGUGGUGCCUGUGGUGGAAAACGAUUUUCUAGUGGUUGGGGAUGCGCUCGCGGCCUAUCAGCUUGUUGGUGGGGUAAUGGCCUACCAAGGCGGCGACGGGUAGCCGGCCUGAGAGGGUGGACGGCCACAGUGGGACUGGGAUACGGCCCAGACUCCUACGGGAGGCAGCAGGGGGGAAUAUUGCACAAGGGGCGGAAGCCUGAUGCAGCGACGCCGCGUGGGGGAUGACGGCCUUCGGGUUGUAAACUCCUUUCGACCGCGAGGAAGCCACCUGGUUGGAAGGGUGGUGACGGUAGUGGUAGAAGAAGCACCGGCUAACUACGUG
Molecule: ribosomal RNA, 494 nt
Filed under: uncultured bacterium
Lineage: Bacteria
Description: partial 16S ribosomal RNA
Rfam family: Bacterial small subunit ribosomal RNA
Source: RNAcentral